AUUGAACGCUGGCGGCAUGCCUUACACAUGCAAGUCGAACGGUAACAGGUCUUCGGAUGCUGACGAGUGGCGAACGGGUGAGUAAUACAUCGGAACGUGCCCGAUCGUGGGGGAUAACGAGGCGAAAGCUUUGCUAAUACCGCAUACGAUCUACGGAUGAAAGCGGGGGAUCUUCGGACCUCGCGCGGACGGAGCGGCCGAUGGCAGAUUAGGUAGUUGGUGGGAUAAAAGCUUACCAAGCCGACGAUCUGUAGCUGGUCUGAGAGGAUGAUCAGCCACACUGGGACUGAGACACGGCCCAGACUCCUACGGGAGGCAGCAGUGGGGAAUUUUGGACAAUAGGCGAAAGCCUGAUCCAGCCAUGCCGCGUGCAGGAUGAAGGCCUUCGGGUUGUAAACUGCUUUUGUACGGAACGAAAAGCCUCUUUCUAAUAAAGAGGGGUCGUGACGGUACCGUAAGAAUAAGCACCGGCUAACUACGUG
This 482-nucleotide ribosomal RNA is filed under the name uncultured bacterium. RNAcentral's name for it is "partial 16S ribosomal RNA". It matches the Rfam family "Bacterial small subunit ribosomal RNA", at positions 30 to 507 of the family's 1533-position model. The record is from RNAcentral.